This 403-nucleotide ribosomal RNA is filed under the name uncultured bacterium. RNAcentral describes it as "bacterial SSU rRNA". It matches the Rfam family "Bacterial small subunit ribosomal RNA", at positions 29 to 416 of the family's 1533-position model. The record is from RNAcentral.
AACGAACGCUGGCGGCGUGCCUAACACAUGCAAGUCGUGCGAGAAAGUUCCUUCGGGAGCGAGUAAAGCGGCGCACGGGUGAGUAACACGUAGGUAACCUGCCCCCCAGUCUGGAACAACUAGAGGAAACUCUAGCUAAUGCCGGAUGAGACCACGAUCCCUUCGGGGGUUGCGGCCAAAGAUGGCCUCUACUUGUAAGCUAUCGCUGAGGGAUGGGCCUGCGGGCCAUUAGCUUGUUGGUGAGGUAACGGCUCACCAAGGCUGUGAUGGCUAGCUGGUCUGAGAGGAUGACCAGCCACACUGGGACUGAGACACGGCCCAGACUCCUACGGGAGGCAGCAGUGGGAAUAUUGCGCAAUGGGCGAAAGCCUGACGCAGCGACGUCGCGUGGGUGAUGAAGGCC